CAGUAGCCGCGGUAAAACGAAGGGUGCAAGCGUUACUCGGAUUUACUGGGCGUAAAGCGUGCGUAGGCGGCUUUUUAAGUCGGAUGUGAAAUCCCUGAGCUUAACUUAGGAAUUGCAUUCGAUACUGGGAAGCUAGAGUAUGGGAGAGGAUGGUAGAAUUCCAGGUGUAGCGGUGAAAUGCGUAGAGAUCUGGAGGAAUACCGAUGGCGAAGGCAGCCAUCUGGCCUAAUACUGACGCUGAGGUACGAAAGCAUGGGGAGCAAACAGGAUUAGAUACCCCAGUAGUCCCUGUCUCUUAUAC
Molecule: ribosomal RNA, 301 nt
Filed under: uncultured bacterium
Lineage: Bacteria
Description: partial 16S ribosomal RNA
Rfam family: Bacterial small subunit ribosomal RNA
Source: RNAcentral